CAUACUCUCAAUCGGAAAACAGUAGAUUAAUUUUUAUUUUUAUAUCUUUUAAGGAAUACAAACUUCUGGUUAUAAUGGAUUGUAAACUAUGUUUUUUAUUGCUGAUGUUAAUUGUACCGAUAUUUUGUUGUAAUACCGGAGAUUUGAAAUGUAAAGAGAGAGAAAUGCUUGUGAUAUUAGAGCUAUACAAACAUUACAGAGAACUCCAGUUUUAUCAAAAUAUGUUACCACAAAAGGCAAGGGAUGAGUUAGUAAAAUCAACCAGAUUUGGCGAUGUUUCAACCAAUGAAAAUGUAAACGAUGUUAUACUGAAUACUCCAACAGAAACAGCCAUUAAAAGCAGAAAACAUUCCGAAAAUAUACAACUAGAUAAAACAAUAAAAAAACUGGAAUCCAUCAUAAAGGAAAUUAGGAAUAUUCUUUUACUAAUUUUAUUAUCGCCAGGACAGAUAGGCGCCA
Long non-coding RNA from Mytilus trossulus (common blue mussel), 459 nucleotides. RefSeq lists it as uncharacterized. The transcript has 3 exons. The record is from RefSeq and is a predicted model, not a curated record. NCBI's taxonomy places the organism in Eukaryota, Metazoa, Mollusca, Bivalvia, Mytilida, Mytilidae.